GUUGGUUUUAAUUCGAUGUAUACGGCGAAGGUAACCUUACUUGGGUUUAAUGUUAGGUUGCAGUGGGGGGAAACUUCCCUUUCCUUCGGGACUUACUUACAAGGUGCUGCAUGGUUGUUCGUCAGCUCGUGCCGUGAGGUGUCGGGUUAAGUCCCAUAACGAGCGCAACCCCUAUCGUUAGUUGCCAGCAAGUAAAGUUGGGGACUCUAGCGAGACUGCCGGUGUAAACCGUGAGGAAGGUGGGGAUGACGUCAAAUCAGCACGGCCCUUAUAUCCAGGGCUACACACGUGUUACAAUGGUCGGUACAAAGAGCAGCCACUUGGUGACAAGGCGCUAAUCUCAAAAGCCGAUCUCAGUUCGGAUCGAGGUCUGCAACUCGACUUCGUGAAGUUGGAUUCGCUAGUAAUCGCGCAUCAGCCAUGGCGCGGUGAAUACGUUCCCGGGCCUU
This 449-nucleotide ribosomal RNA is filed under the name uncultured Marinilabiliaceae bacterium. RNAcentral describes it as "bacterial SSU rRNA". It matches the Rfam family "Bacterial small subunit ribosomal RNA", at positions 941 to 1382 of the family's 1533-position model. The record is from RNAcentral. Lineage: Bacteria; Pseudomonadati; Bacteroidota; Bacteroidia; Marinilabiliales; Marinilabiliaceae.